UACGUAGGUGGCAAGCGUUGUCCGGAUUUACUGGGUGUAAAGGGUGCGUAGGCGGAUUGGCAAGUCAGAUGUGAAAUACCGGGGCUUAACCCCGGGGCUGCAUUUGAAACUGCCAACCUUGAGUGAUGGAGAGGUAAGUGGAAUUCCCAGUGUAGCGGUGAAAUGCGUAGAUAUUGGGAGGAACACCAGUGGCGAAGGCGGCUUACUGGACAUUAACUGACGCUGAGGCACGAAAGCGUGGGUAGCAAACAGG
RNAcentral lists this ribosomal RNA (253 nucleotides) under uncultured bacterium. Its description in RNAcentral is "partial 16S ribosomal RNA". It matches the Rfam family "Bacterial small subunit ribosomal RNA", at positions 524 to 776 of the family's 1533-position model. The record is from RNAcentral.